This 953-nucleotide ribosomal RNA is filed under the name uncultured archaeon 20a-9. RNAcentral's name for it is "bacterial SSU rRNA". It matches the Rfam family "Archaeal small subunit ribosomal RNA", at positions 4 to 921 of the family's 1478-position model. The record is from RNAcentral.
CUGGUUGAUCCUGCCGGAGGGCAUUGCUAUUGGGGUUCGACUUAGGAAUGCUAGUCCACCGACGUUCCUUCGGGGACGGAGGGGCGACCAGCUCAGUAACACGUGGUCAACCUAACCUCGUGUGGCGAAUAACCUCGGGAAACUGAGGCUAAUGCGCCAUAGGCGUGGAAGUCUGGAAGGACUCCUCACCGAAAGCUCCGGCGCACGAGGAUGGGACUGCGGCCGAUUAGGUUGUAGGUGGUGUAACGGACCACCUAGCCUUCGAUCGGUACGGGCCGUGGGAGCGGGAGCCCGGAGAUGGGUACUGAGACAAGGACCUGGGCCCUAAGGGGCGCAGCAUUCGCGAAAACUCCGCAAUGCGCGAAAGCGUGACGGGGGAACCCCAAGUGCCAGCACAAUGUGUUGGCUUUUCUGGAGUGCAAAAAGCUCCAGGAAUAAGGGCUGGGUAAGACCGGUGCCAGCCGCCGCGGUAACACCGGCAGCCCGAGUGAUGUCCGCUAUUAUUGGGCUUAAAGCGUUCGUAGCCGGCCUGUUAAGUCCCCGGUCAAAUCCGACGGCUCAACCGUCGGUUAUCUGGGGAUACUGGCAGGCUUGAGGCCGGGAGAGGUCAGAGGUACUCCUGGGGUAGGGGUAAAAUCCGAUAAUCCUGGGGGGACCACCAGUGGCGAAGGCGUCUGACUGGAACGGGCCUGACGGUGAGGGACGAAACCCUGGGGAGCGAUCCGGAUUAGAUACCCGGGUAGUCCAGGGCGUAAACGAUGUGGGCUGGGUGUGGGCUAAUCAGAAGGAUUAGUCUGUGCCGAAGCGAAAGCGAUAAGUCCACCGCCUGGGGAGUACGGUCGCAAGGCUGAAAUCCUGGUAGGUUGAGUGCCUACCGGACGGUAAACUUAAAGGAAUUGGCGGGGGGGCACCACAAGGGGUGGAGCCUGCGGUCUAAUUGGACUCAACGCCGG